UGUCUAUGUGCAUUUUGGACAUUAUCUUCCACCCAUUUAAUUAAAUAUCCUUUUAGUUUAAUUGGUGAUUUCAAAAUGGAUUGUGUAACUGUGUGUUUCUGUGAGUAGACCCUGUGAUGGAUUUAUACCUAGUCCAGGAUUGGUUUCUGUUUUGUGUCAAAUGCUUCUAGAGUAGCAUCAAGACCCCAUAAUCCUGACCGAGGACUUCAGGUUCUGUUUAGUUGCAGGGAAUGUUUUGAAAUUAAAGGUUUUAAAACGGGGCAGUUUCUUGUUUCUUGUCAUGCUCCCCUAGCUCUAACAUGGCUUGAAAUCUACACUUGACUGCACACAGCUCAGAUAUUUGCAUGUGUCGAUCAAACUUUACAUGCUUCACUGUACUUCCUGCCAUUAUCUGAUUAAAUUCUCUGCUGUUUGUUAUGCUGUAGCUCACCAUUCAUUUGCCCAGCCUAAACUAUGAGUGCAGUGACAUUUCUUACAUUGGUUCUUGUCCUCUGGACUAAGAGUACCAGUGGGGACAUUGUGGUCACUCAGUCUCCGUCCAUUGUGUCUGCUGUUCCUGGCAGCACUGUGACCAUCACAUGUACGGCAGACACAAAGGUAGACGAUGACAUGUCAUUGUAUCACAAGGCCCCUGGACAGACAUACAAGCUUCUGUUUGGAGAUAGUUCCAGACAAAGUGGCGUACCUGACCGGUUUACAUUUUCUGGCUAUGACUACAAGUUUACCUUCCAAAUUAUUAAUUUCCAGCCGGAGGAUGCAGGCUUUUAUUACUGUCAGCAGAGUGAAGCUACACCUUGUACACAAUGA
Molecule: non-coding RNA, 807 nt
Organism: Erpetoichthys calabaricus (reedfish)
Lineage: Eukaryota; Metazoa; Chordata; Cladistia; Polypteriformes; Polypteridae
Source: the annotation of a RefSeq genome assembly